Molecule: long non-coding RNA, 1063 nt
Filed under: Trifolium pratense (red clover)
Lineage: Eukaryota; Viridiplantae; Streptophyta; Magnoliopsida; Fabales; Fabaceae
Description: long non-coding RNA (TPRA_LNC002968)
Source: RNAcentral
CUGAGACAUUGCCAAUUUCUGUAGACGAGACAAGUCCUGAUCACGCUGAGGAUGGCUUGGGUAGUUUCAAGUUUGGUAGUAGUAAUCCCUUGGAACAACUAGGGUUAUAUAUGAAAGUUGAUGAUGAAGAGGAGGAAGCAGAGCCACCUGCAGUUCCAAAUCCUGUAAAAGAUGUAGAAGAGGAGGAAGCAAAGCCACCCUCAGUUCCAAAUCCUGUAAAAGAUGUAGAAGAGGGAGAGAUUGAUGGCUUGGGUAGUUUCAAGUUUGGCAGUAGUAAUCCCUUGGAACAACUAGGGUUAUAUAUGAAAGUUGAUGAUGAAGAGGAGGAAGCAGUGCCACCCUCAGUUCCAAAUCCUGUAAAAGAUGUUGAAGAGGAGGAAGCAAAGCCACCCUCAGUUCCAAAUCCUGUAAAAGAUGUAGAAGAUGGAGAGAUUGAUGGCUUGGGUAGUUUCAAGUUUGGUAGUAGUAAUCCCUUGGAACAACUAGAGUUAUAUAUGAAAGUUGAUGAUGAAGAGGAGGAAGCAGCGCCACCCUCAGUUCCAAAUCCUGUAAAAGAUGUAGAAGAGGAGGAAGCAAAGCCACCCUCAGUUCCAUAUCCUGUAAAAGAUGUAGAAGAUGGAGAGAUUGAUGGCUUGGGUAGUUUCAAGUUUGGUAGUAGUAAUCCCUUGGAACAACUAGAGUUAUAUAUGAAAGUUGAUGAUGAAGAGGAGGAAGCAGCGCCACCCUCAGUUCCAAAUCCUGUAAAAGAUGUAGUAGAGGAGGAAGCAAAGCCACCCUCAGUUCCAAAUCCUGUAAAAGAUGUAGAAGAUGGAGAGAUUGAUGGCUUGGGUAGUUUCAAGUUUGGCAGUAGUAAUCCCUUGGAACAACUAGGGUUAUAUAUGAAAGUUGAUGAUGAAGAGGAGGAAGCAGAGCCACCCUCAGUUCCAAAUCCUGUAAAAGAUGUAGAAAAGGGAGAGAUUGAUUAAGCUAUGCACAUUUUGUAUCACAAUUAAGUAGUAAAUUAUAUAUAGUUAUGUCCACCCCACAAAAAUAUCCACAUGUAUUUUAGUUCUCGUGAUGCGUU